CUCUCAGGUGAGAGUAGCUGACAUGAUGAAACAUGUCUAUUCUACCAUAGCCACACUUUCCUCUCCUGACGACUGUUACCAUGGUUAUCUACCAGACCUGUAGGACAGGCUCUCUGAGGUCCAGGUUGGUCUGUUCUCUGAGGUCCAGGUUGGUCUGUUCUCUGAGGUCCAGGUUGGUCUGUUCUCUGAGGUCCAGGUUGGUUAAUGGUUGGUCUGUUCUCUGAGGUCCAGGUUGGUUAAUGGUUGGUCUGUUCUCUGAGGUCCAGGUUGGUUAAUGGUUGGUCUGUUCUCUGAGGUCCAGGUUGGUUAAUGGUUGGUCUGUUCUCUGAGGUCCAGGUUGGUUAAUGGUUGGUCUGUUCUCUGAGGUCCAGGUUGGUUAAUGGUUGGUCUGUUCUCUGAGGUCCAGGUUGGUUAAUGGUUGGUCUGUUCUCUGAGGUCCAGGUUGGUCUGUUCUCUGAGGUCCAGGUUGGUUAAUGGUUGGUCUGUUCUCUGAGGUCCAGGUUGGUUAAUGGUUGGUCUGUUCUCUGAGGUCCAGGUUGGUUAAUGGUUGGUCUGUUCUCUGAGGUCCAGGUUGGUUAAUGGUUGGUCUGUUCUCUGAGGUCCAGGUUGGUCUGUUCUCUGAGGUCCAGGUUGGUUAAUGGUUGGUCUGUUCUCUGAGGUCCAGGUUGGUCUGUUCUCUGAGGUCCAGGUUGGUUAAUGGUUGGUCUGUUCUCUGAGGUCCAGGUUGGUUAAUGGUUGUUCUGUUCUCUGAGGUCCAGGUUGGUCUGUUCUCUGAGGUCCAGGUUGGUUAAUGGUUGGUCUGUUCUCUGAGGUCCAGGUUGGCUAAUGGUUGGUCUGUUCUCUGAGGUCCAGGUUGGCUAAUGGUUGGUCUGUUCUCUGAGGUCCAGGUUGGCUAAUGGUUGGUUUACUAACCCAGUGGAAACAUAAAAGCACCAUUGUAAUUUAACCUGCAUUAGGCCAUUUAGCAGCCACUUUUAUUCAAAGUAACUAACAACAGAGACAUUUUAGUGGCCGCAGCGGGAUUUGAACCCACAACCCUUGCCAACUGGUCCACACAGGACUACUGUUACCUGGGCUGUAGGAGGGAAAUACUGGCAUGUGGCUAACCUUUCUACUACUAAUCUCGGAAACUCAGAACAACAAUCUUGCUUAAUUACAUACAGUGAGGGGAAAAAAGUAUUUGAUCCCCUGCUGAUUUUGUACGUUUGCCCAGUGACAAAGAAAUUAUCAGUCUAU
Molecule: non-coding RNA, 1236 nt
Organism: Salmo salar (Atlantic salmon)
Lineage: Eukaryota; Metazoa; Chordata; Actinopteri; Salmoniformes; Salmonidae
Source: RefSeq, a predicted model, not a curated record